UGUUUAUUUUACCUUGUUGCUUCGGCGGGCCCGCCUUUACUGGCCGCCGGGGGGCUCACGCCCCCGGGCCCGCGCCCGCCGAAGACACCCCCGAACUCUGUCUGAAGAUUGAAGUCUGAGUGAAAAUAUAAAUUAUUUAAAACUUUCAACAACGGAUCUCUUGGUUCCGGCAUCGAUGAAGAACGCAGCGAAAUGCGAUACGUAAUGUGAAUUGCAAAUUCAGUGAAUCAUCGAGUCUUUGAACGCACAUUGCGCCCCCUGGUAUUCCGGGGGGCAUGCCUGUCCGAGCGUCAUUGCUGCCCUCAAGCCCGGCUUGUGUGUUGGGCCCCGUCCUCCGAUUCCGGGGGACGGGCCCGAAAGGCAGCGGCGGCACCGCGUCCGGUCCUCGAGCGUAUGGGGCUUUGUCACCCGCUCUGUAGGCCCGGCCGGCGCUUGCCGAUCAACCCAAAUUUUUAUCCAGGUUGACCUCGGAUCAGGUAGGGAUACCCGCUGAACUUAAGCAUAUCA
RNAcentral lists this ribosomal RNA (507 nucleotides) under Penicillium sp. 30390. RNAcentral's name for it is "eukaryotic LSU rRNA". The stretch from base 141 to 293 matches the Rfam family "5.8S ribosomal RNA". Lineage: Eukaryota; Fungi; Ascomycota; Eurotiomycetes; Eurotiales; Aspergillaceae. The record is from RNAcentral.